This is a non-coding RNA of Corylus avellana, 819 nucleotides long. NCBI's taxonomy places the organism in Eukaryota, Viridiplantae, Streptophyta, Magnoliopsida, Fagales, Betulaceae. The record is from RefSeq and is a predicted model, not a curated record.
UGAGCAAUAUGCUAAGAAUGAAAGUGGAAGUGGGGCUAGCUUGGCUAGGUUUGGAAAUGAAGAGCGUAGUUGCACAAGUUCCGAAAGUGUGGGUACUAAUAAGAAAGAUGCUUUAGCUAUUUACCAUUCAUUUCGGGCGUCCAAAAAUGUGAUGAUGUGUCGGACAGAGAUAGAGCAAUAUUAUACGGAAGAGGUGGAGACUCCAAGUGACAACUUUGAUAUUUUAAUGUGGUGGAGGGUAAAUAAGGUAAAGUUUCCGGUUCUCGCCGAGAUAGCACGAGAUGUCCUGGCAAUUCCACUUACUUCUGUUGCUUCUGAGUCGGCCUUUAGCACCGGAGGUCGCAUCAUAGAUCCUUUUCGGAGUUCUUUGGCUCCGAAAACAGUGGAAGCUCUUAUUUGUUGUCAAAAUUGGUUGAGAUCUUCUCCCAAUUUUCAGUAUGUUGAGUCACUCUUGCCUGACAUUGAAGAUGAAGAAAGCUACAAGCUUGAGUCGGAAAUUUUGUCUAAUUCCCUCACAUUUGACACGAAUUAAGGCUUAAUGGAUGAACUUUGCGGGGUAAUGUUUUGUUUAAAGUAUUUGGAAGCAAAUUUAAGGAAUUGAAGAUAAUCUAUGUUUGAGGUGGCUCAAGGAAAUUAUUCUGUAACCGUGUUGAUGUUGAUGUUUAUUCAUACUGAUCACUAUCUUUAUGUUUUCUUGCUUUUAUAUUUGUGUAAUGGUGUUGCCUACUUGCCCAUGAGGCCAUGACUUAUUUUCCUUUUGCCAAGUGACUUUAAUUAGUUAAUACUUUGUUUAUUAUUCAUUAAUGAAUUUUAUUUUAA